Non-coding RNA from Nicotiana tabacum (common tobacco), 785 nucleotides. The record is from RefSeq and is a predicted model, not a curated record. Lineage: Eukaryota; Viridiplantae; Streptophyta; Magnoliopsida; Solanales; Solanaceae.
CAGCGUCUCUCUAAGCGCCUUGUCAAGAUGCAAGCUGAAUAUGAUGGGCUGAUGGCUCGUUUGGGUUCUUCAAGUUUUGUAGAGAAAGCUCCUGAGGAUAUUGUUCGUGGUGUCCGAGAAAAAGCGGCAGAGGCAGAAGAGAAGCUGACUCUAACUAAAAACCGCCUUAAUUUCCUCAAGUCAAAAGUUUUGAUUGCAAAUUAGUUUCAUUCCAACAAUCCUUUAUCGCCGCUUACCCUAGUUCAACCCACUAGAGGUUCAUUACAUUAUUUUUGAGCUUUUAGCUCGAUAUCAAGAUGAGUAGCCUCUUCCACAAGAACAAGAAGGCGGAGAUCAUCUAAUCGCAUUCUCGUAAGGCAUUCUUUCAUCUUUCUGCACCUCGACCAGUAGUUCCAUCAAAAGGGUACUGCUUUACUUAAUCUGUGUUGUGCUUCAAUCUAAGAGUAGGGCGUUGAAAAAUAAAGCAUCAAGUGGCGGCUUUUACCCAUUUUUCUCAUUAACCCCUAGAAAGAGUGGGUGGGUGGGGUUUAGCUGAUGUACAGAAUUAUAUUUUUGUGAACAUUUGUCAUGGUAGUGAUCAUUAUUGCUAUAUUCCAUGUGUUAGUGUUGACUCGAUUUCAGCUUUUACACAGAAGCACAAGUUAGUCUUUCUGUCUCUGUUACCAUUUUUCUAUCUUUUCAAAAUCUUGUUUGGUCGUCAUCUUUUGGUUGUAAUUUGUAACAAAUGGCAGUUGAGAUGCUCAUAAUUGUUAGAUGCAUUAAUCAGAUGUUUUUCUUUAUUUCUA